Molecule: ribosomal RNA, 450 nt
Filed under: uncultured bacterium
Lineage: Bacteria
Description: bacterial SSU rRNA
Rfam family: Bacterial small subunit ribosomal RNA
Source: RNAcentral
GUGGGGAAUAUUGGACAAUGGGCGAAAGCCUGAUCCAGCCAUGCCGCGUGUGUGAAGAAGGUCUUCGGAUUGUAAAGCACUUUAAGUUGGGAGGAAGGGCAGUAAGUUAAUACCUUGCUGUUUUGACGUUACCAACAGAAUAAGCACCGGCUAACUUCGUGCCAGCCGCCGCGGUAAUACGAAGGGUGCAAGCGUUAAUCGGAAUUACUGGGCGUAAAGCGCGCGUAGGUGGUUUUGUAAGUUGGAGGUGAAAUCCCCGGGCUCAACCUGGGAACUGCCUCCAAAACUGCAUGACUAGAGGACGGUAGAAGGUAGUGGAAUUUCCUGUGUAGCGGUGAAAUGCGUAGAUAUAGGAAGGAACACCAGUGGCGAAGGCGACUACCUGGACUGAUACUGACACUGAGGUGCGAAAGCGUGGGGAGCAAACAGGAUUAGAAACCCUGGUAGUCC